GUGGCCCGUUUGCUCGCCUCGGCUUCCUCUGCGGUCUCGCUCAACGGCUCGAUAGGCCCUGGCAUCCUCCACCUCCGCGGAUUGCGCCAGGGCGACCCGCUCUCCCCCUUCCUGUUCAUUCUGGCCAUCGACCCGCUGCAUCAUCUCAUAGAAGCGGCAGUAGAGCAGCAGCUGCUGCAUCAUCUACCUGGCCGU
This 195-nucleotide ribosomal RNA is filed under the name Triticum aestivum (bread wheat). RNAcentral describes it as "partial small subunit ribosomal RNA". Lineage: Eukaryota; Viridiplantae; Streptophyta; Magnoliopsida; Poales; Poaceae. The record is from RNAcentral.